Molecule: ribosomal RNA, 460 nt
Filed under: uncultured bacterium
Lineage: Bacteria
Description: partial 16S ribosomal RNA
Rfam family: Bacterial small subunit ribosomal RNA
Source: RNAcentral
CCUACGGGUGGCAGCAGUGAGGAAUAUUGGUCAAUGGGCGCGAGCCUGAACCAGCCAAGUAGCGUGAAGGAUGACUGCCCUACGGGUUGUACACUUCUUUUAUCAAGGAAUAAAGUGAGGCACGUGUGCCUUUUUGUAUGUACUUUAUGAAUAAGGAUCGGCUAACUCCGUGCCAGCAGCCGCGGUAAUACGGAGGAUCCGAGCGUUAUCCGGAGUUAUUGGGUUUAAAGGGAGCGUAGAUGGGUUGUUAAGUUAGUUGUGAAAGUUUGCGGCUCAACCGUAAAAUUGCAAUUGAGACUGGCAGUCUUGAGGACAGUUGAGGUAUGCGGAAUGCGUGGUGUAGCGGUGAAAUGCUUAGAUAGCACGAAGAACGCCGAUUGCGAAGGCAGCUUACUAAACUGCCACUGACAUUGAUGCGCGAAAGUGUGGGUAUCAAACAGGAGUAGAUACCCCAGUAGUC